This 550-nucleotide ribosomal RNA is filed under the name uncultured bacterium. RNAcentral's name for it is "bacterial SSU rRNA". It matches the Rfam family "Bacterial small subunit ribosomal RNA", at positions 355 to 896 of the family's 1533-position model. The record is from RNAcentral.
UAGGGAAUCUUCGGCAAUGGGGGCAACCCUGACCGAGCAACGCCGCGUGAGUGAAGAAGGUUUUCGGAUCGUAAAGCUCUGUUGUAAGUCAAGAACGAGUGUGAGAGUGGAAAGUUCACACUGUGACGGUAGCUUACCAGAAAGGGACGGCUAACUACGUGCCAGCAGCCGCGGUAAUACGUAGGUCCCGAGCGUUGUCCGGAUUUAUUGGGCGUAAGGCGAGCGCAGGCGGUUCGAUAAGUCUGAAGUUAAAGGCUGUGGCUCAACCAUAGUUCGCUUUGGAAACUGUCAAACUUGAGUGCAGAAGGGGAGAGUGGAAUUCCAUGUGUAGCGGUGAAAUGCGUAGAUAUAUGGAGGAACACCGGUGGCGAAAGCGGCUCUCUGGUCUGUAACUGACGCUGAGGCUCGAAAGCGUGGGGAGCGAACAGGAUUAGAUACCCUGGUAGUCCACGCCGUAAACGAUGAGUGCUAGGUGUUGGAUCCUUUCCGGGAUUCAGUGCCGCAGCUAACGCAUUAAGCACUCCGCCUGGGGAGUACGACCGCAAGGUUG